RNAcentral lists this non-coding RNA (136 nucleotides) under Lactiplantibacillus fabifermentans. RNAcentral's name for it is "Lactobacillus fabifermentans FMN sequence". It matches the Rfam family "FMN riboswitch aptamer (RFN element)". Rfam says of the family: The RFN element is a highly conserved domain that is found frequently in the 5'-untranslated regions of prokaryotic mRNAs that encode for flavin mononucleotide (FMN) biosynthesis and transport proteins. This element is a metabolite-dependent riboswitch that directly binds FMN in the absence of proteins. In Bacillus subtilis, the riboswitch most likely controls gene expression by causing premature transcription termination within the 5' untranslated region of the ribDEAHT operon and precluding access to the ribosome-binding site of ypaA mRNA. The record is from RNAcentral. Lineage: Bacteria; Bacillati; Bacillota; Bacilli; Lactobacillales; Lactobacillaceae.
CGAUUUCUUCGGGGCAGGGUGUAAUUCCCGACCGACGGUAACAAUGCCUAGCAUUGAAGUCCGUGACCCGCGUGCGUGCGGCUGAUCCAGUGAGAGUCUGGAACCGACUGUAAAGUCAGGAUGGGAGAAGAAAGUA